Molecule: non-coding RNA, 411 nt
Organism: Paramuricea clavata
Lineage: Eukaryota; Metazoa; Cnidaria; Anthozoa; Malacalcyonacea; Plexauridae
Source: the annotation of a GenBank genome assembly
CUAAUAACGGAAAUCUAUACUGUCCAUGUUCAAUAAUAUAGGACUAACAACAACUUAUUACAUUGUUAAGCGAUCUUGCUCUUUUGCACUUUACACACACUGAUUUCCAGGUGCGCGGAUCGACACAUUUGAACGUUUUGGAUAGUGCAUGUUUGUAGUAGAGUUUAAGCCCAGGUCACACUACACAACGAUAACGAUAACUUGUAUACGCACGCUGAUUGGUCAAAAAUUUAUCGUUAUCGUCCGACUGAAAAAAAAAUCGCUCAGGUGAGCGAUUUUAAAAUCGUUAUCGUUAUCGUCUAACGAUAAUUUUAUCAUUUUCAUUGUUGUGUGGACACUAACACAAUUUUUUUGCCAAUUAUCGCGUGUUUACAAUUUAUCGUAUCGUUAUCGUUGUGUAGUGUGACCGGG